RNAcentral lists this ribosomal RNA (667 nucleotides) under Methylobacterium radiotolerans. RNAcentral describes it as "bacterial SSU rRNA". It matches the Rfam family "Bacterial small subunit ribosomal RNA", at positions 22 to 736 of the family's 1533-position model. Lineage: Bacteria; Pseudomonadati; Pseudomonadota; Alphaproteobacteria; Hyphomicrobiales; Methylobacteriaceae. The record is from RNAcentral.
GCUCAGAGCGAACGCUGGCGGCAGGCUUAACACAUGCAAGUCGAGCGGGCCCUUCGGGGUCAGCGGCGGACGGGUGAGUAACGCGUGGGAACGUGCCUUCUGGUUCGGAAUAACCCUGGGAAACUAGGGCUAAUACCGGAUACGCCCUUUUGGGGAAAGGUUUACUGCCGGAAGAUCGGCCCGCGUCUGAUUAGCUAGUUGGUGGGGUAACGGCCUACCAAGGCGACGAUCAGUAGCUGGUCUGAGAGGAUGAUCAGCCACACUGGGACUGAGACACGGCCCAGACUCCUACGGGAGGCAGCAGUGGGGAAUAUUGGACAAUGGGCGCAAGCCUGAUCCAGCCAUGCCGCGUGAGUGAUGAAGGCCUUAGGGUUGUAAAGCUCUUUUAUCCGGGACGAUAAUGACGGUACCGGAGGAAUAAGCCCCGGCUAACUUCGUGCCAGCAGCCGCGGUAAUACGAAGGGGGCUAGCGUUGCUCGGAAUCACUGGGCGUAAAGGGCGCGUAGGCGGCGUUUUAAGUCGGGGGUGAAAGCCUGUGGCUCAACCACAGAAUGGCCUUCGAUACUGGGACGCUUGAGUAUGGUAGAGGUUGGUGGAACUGCGAGUGUAGAGGUGAAAUUCGUAGAUAUUCGCAAGAACACCGGUGGCGAAGGCGGCCAACGGACCA